Molecule: ribosomal RNA, 486 nt
Filed under: uncultured Acidobacteriota bacterium
Lineage: Bacteria; Pseudomonadati; Acidobacteriota
Description: bacterial SSU rRNA
Rfam family: Bacterial small subunit ribosomal RNA
Source: RNAcentral
AAACAGGGACUUCUCGCAAGAGACUGUAGUCGAGGUGCUGCAUGGCUGUCGUCAGCUCGUGUCGUGAGAUGUUGGGUUAAGUCCCGCAACGAGCGCAACCCUUGUCCUGUGUUGCCAUCAUUUAGUUGGGAACUCUCAGGAGACCGCCAGCGAUAAGCUGGAGGAAGGUGGGGAUGAUGUCAAGUCAUCAUGGCCUUUAUGUCCAGGGCUACACACGUGCUACAAUGGCCGGUACAAAGCGCUGCAAACUCGCAAGAGGGAGCUAAUCGCAAAAAACCGGUCUCAGUUCGGAUCGCAGGCUGCAACUCGCCUGCGUGAAGCUGGAAUCGCUAGUAACGCCGUAUCAGAACGAUGGCGUGAAUACGUUCCCGGGCCUUGUACACACCGCCCGUCACAUCACGAAAGUGGAUUGUACUAGAAGUCCUAAUCAAACAGGCCCAAGGUAUGAUUCAUGAUUGGGGUGAAGUCGUAACAAGGUAACCGUAA